GGGUUGUGAGGUUAAGCGACUAAGCGUACACGGUGGAUGCCCUGGCAGUCAGAGGCGAUGAAGGACGUGCUAAUCUGCGAUAAGCGUCGGUGAGGUGAUAUGAACCGUUAUAACCGGCGAUUUCCGAAUGGGGAAACCCAGUGUGUUUCGACACACUAUCAUUAACUGAAUCCAUAGGUUAAUGAGGCGAACCGGGGGAACUGAAACAUCUAAGUACCCCGAGGAAAAGAAAUCAACCGAGAUUCCCCCAGUAGCGGCGAGCGAACGGGGAGGAGCCCAGAGCCUGAAUCAGUGUGUGUGUUAGUGGAAGCGUCUGGAAAGGCGUGCGAUACAGGGUGACAGCCCCGUACACAAAAAUGCACAUAUUGUGAGCUCGAUGAGUAGGGCGGGACACGUGGUAUCCUGUCUGAAUAUGGGGGGACCAUCCUCCAAGGCUAAAUACUCCUGACUGACCGAUAGUGAACCAGUACCGUGAGGGAAAGGCGAAAAGAACCCCGGCGAGGGGAGUGAAAAAGAACCUGAAACCGUGUACGUACAAGCAGUGGGAGCCUCUUAAUGGGGUGACUGCGUACCUUUUGUAUAAUGGGUCAGCGACUUAUAUUCUGUAGCAAGGUUAACCGAAUAGGGGAGCCGAAGGGAAACCGAGUCUUAACUGGGCGUUAAGUUGCAGGGUAUAGACCCGAAACCCGGUGAUCUAGCCAUGGGCAGGUUGAAGGUUGGGUAACACUAACUGGAGGACCGAACCGACUAAUGUUGAAAAAUUAGCGGAUGACUUGUGGCUGGGGGUGAAAGGCCAAUCAAACCGGGAGAUAGCUGGUUCUCCCCGAAAGCUAUUUAGGUAGCGCCUCGUGAAUUCAUCUCCGGGGGUAGAGCACUGUUUCGGCAAGGGGGUCAUCCCGACUUACCAACCCGAUGCAAACUGCGAAUACCGGAGAAUGUUAUCACGGGAGACACACGGCGGGUGCUAACGUCCGUCGUGAAGAGGGAAACAACCCAGACCGCCAGCUAAGGUCCCAAAGUCAUGGUUAAGUGGGAAACGAUGUGGGAAGGCCCAGACAGCCAGGAUGUUGGCUUAGAAGCAGCCAUCAUUUAAAGAAAGCGUAAUAGCUCACUGGUCGAGUCGGCCUGCGCGGAAGAUGUAACGGGGCUAAACCAUGCACCGAAGCUGCGGCAGCGACACUAUGUGUUGUUGGGUAGGGGAGCGUUCUGUAAGCCUGUGAAGGUGGCCUGUGAGGGUUGCUGGAGGUAUCAGAAGUGCGAAUGCUGACAUAA
This 1272-nucleotide ribosomal RNA is filed under the name Escherichia coli. RNAcentral describes it as "partial 23S ribosomal RNA". It matches the Rfam family "Bacterial large subunit ribosomal RNA", at positions 1 to 1305 of the family's 2925-position model. Lineage: Bacteria; Pseudomonadati; Pseudomonadota; Gammaproteobacteria; Enterobacterales; Enterobacteriaceae. The record is from RNAcentral.